GACGAACGCUGGCGGCGUGCUUAACACAUGCAAGUCGAACGGAAAGGCCCUGCUUUUGUGGGGUGCUCGAGUGGCGAACGGGUGAGUAACACGUGAGUAACCUGCCCUUGACUUUGGGAUAACUUCAGGAAACUGGGGAUAAUACCGGAUAGGAGCUCCUGCUGCAUGGUGGGGGUUGGAAAGUUUCGGCGGUUGGGGAUGGACUCGCGGCUUAUCAGCUUGUUGGUGGGGUAGUGGAUGACCAAGGCUUGGACGGGUAGCCGGCCUGAGAGGGUGACCGGCCACAUAGGGAGUGAGUUACGGCCCAGACUCCUACGGGAGGCAGGAGGGGGGAAUAUUGCACAAUGGGCGGAAGCCUGAUGCAGGAACGCCGCGUGCGGGAUGACGGCCUUCGGGUGGUAAGCAGCUUUCGCUUGUGACGAAGCGUGAGUGACGGUAAUGGGUAAAGAAGCACCGGCUAACUACGU
Molecule: ribosomal RNA, 467 nt
Filed under: uncultured bacterium
Lineage: Bacteria
Description: partial 16S ribosomal RNA
Rfam family: Bacterial small subunit ribosomal RNA
Source: RNAcentral